AAAUUGAAGAGUUUGAUCAUGGCUCAGAUUGAACGCUGGCGGCAGGCCUAACACAUGCAAGUCGGGCGGUAACACGGGGAGCUUGCUCCCGGGUGACGAGCGGCGGACGGGUGAGUAAUGUCUGGGAAACUGCCUGAUGGAGGGGGAUAACUACUGGAAACGGUAGCUAAUACCGCAUAACGUCGCAAGACCAAAGAGGGGGACCUUCGGGCCUCUUGCCAUCAGAUGUGCCCAGAUGGGAUUAGCUAGUAGGUGGGGUAACGGCUCACCUAGGCGACGAUCCCUAGCUGGUCUGAGAGGAUGACCAGCCACACUGGAACUGAGACACGGUCCAGACUCCUACGGGAGGCAGCAGUGGGGAAUAUUGCACAAUGGGCGCAAGCCUGAUGCAGCCAUGCCGCGUGUAUGAAGAAGGCCUUCGGGUUGUAAAGUACUUUCAGCGGGGAGGAAGGUGUUGUGGUUAAUAACCACAGCAAUUGACGUUACCCGCAGAAGAAGCACCGGCUAACUCCGUGCCAGCAGCCGCGGUAAUACGGAGGGUGCAAGCGUUAAUCGGAAUUACUGGGCGUAAAGCGCACGCAGGCGGUCUGUCAAGUCGGAUGUGAAAUCCCCGGGCUCAACCUGGGAACUGCAUUCGAAACUGGCAGGCUAGAGUCUUGUAGAGGGGGGUAGAAUUCCAGGUGUAGCGGUGAAAUGCGUAGAGAUCUGGAGGAAUACCGGUGGCGAAGGCGGCCCCCUGGACAAAGACUGACGCUCAGGUGCGAAAGCGUGGGGAGCAAACAGGAUUAGAUACCCUGGUAGUCCACGCCGUAAACGAUGUCGACUUGGAGGUUGUGCCCUUGAGGCGUGGCUUCCGGAGCUAACGCGUUAAGUCGACCGCCUGGGGAGUACGGCCGCAAGGUUAAAACUCAAAUGAAUUGACGGGGGCCCGCACAAGCGGUGGAGCAUGUGGUUUAAUUCGAUGCAACGCGAAGAACCUUACCUACUCUUGACAUCCAGAGAACUUAGCAGAGAUGCUUUGGUGCCUUCGGGAACUCUGAGACAGGUGCUGCAUGGCUGUCGUCAGCUCGUGUUGUGAAAUGUUGGGUUAAGUCCCGCAACGAGCGCAACCCUUAUCCUUUGUUGCCAGCGGUCCGGCCGGGAACUCAAAGGAGACUGCCAGUGAUAAACUGGAGGAAGGUGGGGAUGACGUCAAGUCAUCAUGGCCCUUACGAGUAGGGCUACACACGUGCUACAAUGGCGCAUACAAAGAGAAGCGACCUCGCGAGAGCAAGCGGACCUCAUAAAGUGCGUCGUAGUCCGGAUUGGAGUCUGCAACUCGACUCCAUGAAGUCGGAAUCGCUAGUAAUCGUAGAUCAGAAUGCUACGGUGAAUACGUUCCCGGGCCUUGUACACACCGCCCGUCACACCAUGGGAGUGGGUUGCAAAAGAAGUAGGUAGCUUAACCUUCGGGAGGGCGCUUACCACUUUGUGAUUCAUGACUGGGGUGAAGUCGUAACAAGGUAACCGUAGGGGAACCUGCGGUUGGAUCACCUCCUUACCUUAAAGAA
RNAcentral lists this ribosomal RNA (1550 nucleotides) under Enterobacter sp. RHBSTW-00901. Its description in RNAcentral is "bacterial SSU rRNA". It matches the Rfam family "Bacterial small subunit ribosomal RNA". Lineage: Bacteria; Pseudomonadati; Pseudomonadota; Gammaproteobacteria; Enterobacterales; Enterobacteriaceae. The record is from RNAcentral.